UUGAAUUGAAACGGGGGUGCUCGGUUCGGCCUGCACCGGUGGAGACGCCGUGCUGCGGUCGGCCUUGCGCCCUCUUCCAAACUCAAACCCCUGUGAACCUUUGGGAGGUGCGCACCGCGUGCGGAGCGGCCUCCCGUUUCAACCAACUCUGAUGUCUAUUUGAAUGUUUGAUUCGGGGCAGCCCCGAUGUCUAAUUGAAAA
RNAcentral lists this unclassified non-coding RNA (201 nucleotides) under uncultured Trechisporales. RNAcentral's name for it is "sequence contains ITS1". The record is from RNAcentral. Lineage: Eukaryota; Fungi; Basidiomycota; Agaricomycetes; Trechisporales.